GGCCCGUACCCCAAACCGACACAGGUGGUCAGGUAGAGAAUACUAAGGCGAUCGAGAGAACUGUGGUUAAGGAACUCGGCAAAAUGCCCCCGUAACUUCGGGAGAAGGGGGACCAGUCCUGGUGACGACAUUUACUGUCUGAGCUGGGGUUGGUCGCAGAGACCAGAGAUAAGCGACUGUUUACUAAAAACACAGGUCCGUGCGAAGUCGUAAGACGAUGUAUACGGACUGACGCUUCCCCGGUGCUGGAAGGUUAAGAGGACCGGUCAGCCACUUCGGUGGCGAAGCUGAGAAUUUAAGCCCCAGUAAACGGCGGUGGUAACUAUAACCAUCCUAAGGUAGCGAAAUUCCUUGUCGGGUAAGUUCCGACCUGCACGAAUGGCGUAACGACUUCUCUGCUGUCUCAACCACAGACUCGGCGAAAUUGCAGUACGAGUAAAGAUGCUCGUUACGCGCGGCAGGACGAAAAGACCCCGGGACCUUCACUAUAGCUUGGUAUUGGUGUUCGGUUCGGUUUGUGUAGGAUAGGUGGGAGACUGUGAAACUCGCACGCCAGUGUGGGUGGAGUCAUUGUUGAAAUACCACUCUGACCGUAUUGGACAUCUAACCUCGGACCAUGAUCGGGUUCAGGGACAGUGCCUGGUGGGUAGUUUAACUGGGGCGGUUGCCUCCUAAAAAGUAACGGAGGCGCCCAAAGGUUCCCUCAGCCUGGUUGGCAAUCAGGUGUUGAGUGUAAGUGCACAAGGGAGCUUGACUGUGAGACGUACAUGUCGAGCAGGGACGAAGGUCGGGACUAGUGAUCCGGCACCGGCAAGUGGAAGCGGUGUCGCUCAACGGAUAAAAGGUACCCCGGGGAUAACAGGCUGAUCUUCCCCAAGAGUCCAUAUCGACGGGAUGGUUUGGCACCUCGAUGUCGGCUCGUCGCAUCCUGGGGCUGGAGUAGGUCCCAAGGGUUGGGCUGUUCGCCCAUUAAAGCGGCACGCGAGCUGGGUUUAGAACGUCGUGAGACAGUUCGGUCUCUAUCCGCCGCGCGCGUAAGAAACUUGAGGAAACCUGUCCCUAGUACGAGAGGACCGGGACGGACGAACCUCUGGUGUGCCAGUUGUUCCACCAGGAGCACCGCUGGUUAGCUACGUUCGGAAGGGAUAACCGCUGAAAGCAUCUAAGCGGGAAGCCUGUUCCAAGAUGAGGUUUCUCACCACCUAGCGUGGUUAAGGCCCCCCACAGACCAUGGGGUUGAUAGGCCAGAACUGUAAGCACAGCAAUGUGUUCAGGUGACUGGUACUAAUCGGCCGAGGACUUAC
This 1304-nucleotide ribosomal RNA is filed under the name metagenome. RNAcentral's name for it is "bacterial LSU rRNA". It matches the Rfam family "Bacterial large subunit ribosomal RNA", at positions 1639 to 2925 of the family's 2925-position model. The record is from RNAcentral.